Molecule: ribosomal RNA, 253 nt
Filed under: uncultured bacterium
Lineage: Bacteria
Description: partial 16S ribosomal RNA
Rfam family: Bacterial small subunit ribosomal RNA
Source: RNAcentral
UACGGGGGGGGUAAGCGUUGUUCGGAAUUACUGGGCGUAAAGGGCUCGUAGGCGGCCAACUAAGUCGGACGUGAAAUCCCUCAGCUUAACUGGGGAACUGCGUCCGAUACUGGAUGGCUUGGAUUUGGGAGAGGGAUGCGGAAUUCCAGGUGUAGCGGUGAAAUGCGUAGAUAUCAGGAGGAACACCGGUGGCGAAGGCGGGUCUCUGGGCCGAUAUCGACGCUGAGGAGCGAAAGCGUGGGGAGCGAACAGG